Molecule: ribosomal RNA, 398 nt
Filed under: uncultured Alphaproteobacteria bacterium
Lineage: Bacteria; Pseudomonadati; Pseudomonadota; Alphaproteobacteria
Description: bacterial SSU rRNA
Rfam family: Bacterial small subunit ribosomal RNA
Source: RNAcentral
GAGUUUGAUCUUGGCUCAGAGCGAACGCUGGCGGCAGGCCUAAUACAUGCAAGUCGAACGGCUCUUCGGAGCAGUGGCGGACGGGUGAGUAACGCGUGGGAACGUGCCCUUUGGUUCGGAACAACACAGGGAAACUUGUGCUAAUACCGAAUGUGCCCUUCGGGGGAAAGAUUUAUCGCCAUUGGAGCGGCCCGCGUUGGAUUAGCUAGUUGGUGGGGUAAAGGCCCACAAGGCGACGAUCCAUAGCUGGUCUGAGAGGAUGAUCAGCCACACUGGGACUGAGACACGGCCCAGACUCCUACGGGAGGCAGCAGUAGGGAAUCUUGCGCAAUGGGCGAAAAGCCUGACGCAGCCAUGCCGCGUGAAUGAUGAAGGUCUUAGGAUUGUAAAAAUUCUUU